UCAGGCACAGGGAGAUGAUGGGGUCUCAGGCUCAGCUGUUCUGCCUCCUGCUUCUCUGGGUCCCAGGUUCCAGAGGGGCCGUUGAGGUGACCCAGAAUCCAUCCUCCCUGGCUGUGUCUCUAGGAGAGAGGGUCACCCUGUCCUGCAGGGCCAGUCAGAGCAUUGGUAAUGCCUUAGACUGGUACCAACAUCCCCCAGGCAAGUCUCCCAGGCUCCUCAUUUACUGGGCCUCCAACCUACACUCUGGGGUCCCUGCCCGGUUCAGUGGCAGUGGCUCUGGGACAGAUUUCUCUCUUACCAUCAGCGGUGUGGAACCAGAGGACGUCGGACACUAUUACUGCCUGCAGAAGAAUAGCUAUCCUCUCACAGUGGUUCAGCUCUGAACAAAAACCUGCCCAGGCAGCUGCUGAGGGAGCCCCCACUGUCCCAGGGGCUCCUCCUUCCCCCACAGCUGGGGCAGCUUGUCU
Monodelphis domestica (gray short-tailed opossum) is the source of this 467-nucleotide non-coding RNA. NCBI's taxonomy places the organism in Eukaryota, Metazoa, Chordata, Mammalia, Didelphimorphia, Didelphidae. The record is from the annotation of a RefSeq genome assembly.